AAUCUUCCGCAAUGGGCGCAAGCCUGAUGCAGCGACGCCGCGUGAACGAUGAAGGUCUUCGGAUCGUAAAGUUCUGUCCUAGGGGACGAUAGUGACGGUACCCUAGGAGGAAGCCCCGGCUAACUACGUGCCAGCAGCCGCGGUAAUACGUAGGGGGCGAGCGUUGUCCGGAAUUAUUGGGCGUAAAGGGUUCGUAGGCGGUCUUUUAAGUCAGAUGUGAAAGGUCACGGCUCAACCGUGGUAAGCAUUUGAAACUGAAGGACUUGAGUUAAGGAGAGGAAAGUGGAAUUCCUAGUGUAGCGGUGAAAUGCGUAGAUAUUAGGAGGAAUACCAGUGGUGAAGGCGACUUUCUGGACUUAUACUGACGCUGAGGAACGAAAGCGUGGGGAGCAAAC
This 395-nucleotide ribosomal RNA is filed under the name uncultured bacterium. RNAcentral describes it as "partial 16S ribosomal RNA". It matches the Rfam family "Bacterial small subunit ribosomal RNA", at positions 360 to 773 of the family's 1533-position model. The record is from RNAcentral.